Molecule: ribosomal RNA, 435 nt
Filed under: uncultured bacterium
Lineage: Bacteria
Description: bacterial SSU rRNA
Rfam family: Bacterial small subunit ribosomal RNA
Source: RNAcentral
UGAGGAAUAUUGGUCAAUGGUCGCUAGACUGAACCAGCCAAGUAGCGUGCGGGAUGAAGGCCCUCCGGGUCGUAAACCGCUUUUAGACGGGGAUAAAAGGGCGUACGUGUACGCCGUAUUGCAUGUACCGUCAGAAAAAGGACCGGCUAAUUCCGUGCCAGCAGCCGCGGUAAUACGGAAGGUCCGGGCGUUAUCCGGAUUUAUUGGGUUUAAAGGGAGCGUAGGCGGACUUUCAAGUCAGUGGUAAAAUCGUGUGGCUCAACCAUACCUCGCCAUUGAAACUGGAAGUCUGGAGUGCACACAGGGGUGCCGGAAUUCAUGGUGUAGCGGUGAAAUGCUUAGAUAUCAUGAAGAACUCCGAUCGCGAAGGCAAGUGCCCGGGGUGCAACUGACGCUGAGGCUCGAAGGUGCGGGUAGCAAACAGGAUUAGAUACC